Molecule: transfer RNA, 82 nt
Filed under: Echinostoma caproni
Lineage: Eukaryota; Metazoa; Platyhelminthes; Trematoda; Plagiorchiida; Echinostomatidae
Rfam family: tRNA
About the family: Transfer RNA (tRNA) molecules are approximately 80 nucleotides in length. Their secondary structure includes four short double-helical elements and three loops (D, anti-codon, and T loops).
Source: Rfam by way of RNAcentral
GGCCUCGUAGCUCAUCUGGUAGUACAUGCGCGUACAAAGCGUAGGCGGCGUCCAUGCGUGGGUUCGAAUCCCAUUGAGGCUA